UACAGAGGGUGCGAGCGUUGUCCGGAAUCACUGGGCGUAAAGGGCGCGUAGGCGGCUGGGUAAGUAGGGGGUGAAAUCUCGCAGCUCAACUGCGAGGCUGCCUCCUAGACUGCCUGGCUCGAGCACGGUAGAGGCUGGUGGAAUUCCCGGUGUAGCGGUGGAAUGCGUAGAGAUCGGGAGGAACAUCGGUGGCGAAGGCGGCCGGCUGGGCCGUUGCUGACGCUGAUGCGCGAAAGCGUGGGGAGCAAACAGGAUUAGAUACCCUGGUAGUCCACGCCGUAAACGAUGGGUACUAGGCGCUGGGGGGAGCGACCCCUUCGGUGCCGUCGCUAACGCAGUAAGUACCCCGCCUGGGGAGUACGGUCGCAAGACUGAA
Molecule: ribosomal RNA, 376 nt
Filed under: uncultured bacterium
Lineage: Bacteria
Description: bacterial SSU rRNA
Rfam family: Bacterial small subunit ribosomal RNA
Source: RNAcentral